This 232-nucleotide ribosomal RNA is filed under the name uncultured bacterium. RNAcentral describes it as "partial 16S ribosomal RNA". It matches the Rfam family "Bacterial small subunit ribosomal RNA", at positions 99 to 334 of the family's 1533-position model. The record is from RNAcentral.
CGGACGGGUGAGUAAUGUCUGGGAAACUGCCCGAUGGAGGGGGGUAACUACUGGAAACGGUAGCUAAUACCGCAUAACGUCGCAAGACCAAAGAGGGGGACCUUAGGGCCUCUUGCCAUCGGAUGUGCCCAGAUGGGAUUAGCUAGUAGGUGGGGUAACGGCUCACCUAGGCGACGAUCCCUAGCUGGUCUGAGAGGAUGGCCAGCCACACUGGAACUGAGACACGGUCCAG